GCUUCAUGAUUCCGUAAACACAUCGUCAUUAAUGUCUGUAAAACGUACAGUGUCAUCGUAUUCAUUGAAGAAGACGCCUUACGAAAAUUUCGAUAAAAUUGUGCAAAGCAUUUUCAUCAAAAGUGAAUCAUGAGCGCCGACGACGACGUUGAUAACGUUGAUCAGCAAGAAUUAGACAUUGUUUUAUGUACUGAAGAAGUUGCGACCGAUUGUUGAAAUUCAUAUUCCAUUGGAAUCCUACAGUGGCAGUACGGCUCUACGAACGAACGAUUUGUCUCUGAAUCUAGACAGUAAAUAUCAAUAUGCUGCCCUGUUGAAGUGCUAGAAAUCCUACGGAGGUUUUUUGGAAACUGAAAUUUAUACAUAAUUAAAGAGAGCUAUAAAAAGUUAUUCAAA
Xenia sp. Carnegie-2017 is the source of this 396-nucleotide long non-coding RNA. RefSeq lists it as uncharacterized. The transcript has 5 exons. The record is from RefSeq and is a predicted model, not a curated record. Lineage: Eukaryota; Metazoa; Cnidaria; Anthozoa; Malacalcyonacea; Xeniidae.